RNAcentral lists this ribosomal RNA (468 nucleotides) under uncultured bacterium. RNAcentral's name for it is "partial 16S ribosomal RNA". It matches the Rfam family "Bacterial small subunit ribosomal RNA", at positions 28 to 507 of the family's 1533-position model. The record is from RNAcentral.
GACGAACGCUGGCGGCGUGCUUAACACAUGCAAGUCGAACGGCAGGGCCCUGCGUUUGUGGGGUGCUCGAGGGGCGAACGCGUGCGUGAGACGUAUGUAACCUGCCCUUGACUUUGGGAUAACUUCAGGAAACUGGGGCUAAUACCGGAUCGGAGAUCCUGCUGCAGUGUGGGGGUGGGAACGUUUCGGCGGUUGGGGAUGGACUCGCGGCUUAUCAGUUUGUUGGUGGGUGAGGGGCUUACCAAGCCUUGGGCGGGUAGCCAGCCUGAGAGGGUGAACGGCCACAUUGCGACUGAGGUACGGACCAGAGUCCUACGGGAGACAGCAGUGGGGAGUAUUGCACAAUGGGCGGAAGUCGGAUAAGACAACGCUGGGUGUGUGAUGCCGUCUUUCUGGGUGAAAACCGCAUUCGCCUAUUACGCAGCGUUAGUGACGGUAAUCGAUAAAGAAGCACCGGCUAACUACGUG